Molecule: long non-coding RNA, 354 nt
Filed under: Salmo salar (Atlantic salmon)
Lineage: Eukaryota; Metazoa; Chordata; Actinopteri; Salmoniformes; Salmonidae
Description: lncRNA (ENSSSAG00000101112.1)
Source: RNAcentral
UCAAAAUGAAAUAUUCUCUAUUAGACAGAACAUAACAUUAGCUACCUUAGCUGGACUAGGUGGUACAGAAUCUGAUUCCACUGGCAUGUGCUUCCAAACCUUAGCUCUGCACAAGGUGAAGGUGAUCUGGAGACCUUCCACAGUGCCCUGCUGAAAAAUACCCCAUAACGGUGGGGUCUUUGUUCGAAACAUCGUCAUCUAUUUGUUCGAAACAUCGUCAUCUCCUGGCAGCAUUUACCCUCCAGCUUCACAAGCUUGAAAACCACAUUCAGAAAAACUUUAACAGAAUUCAUUUUUUUCCCUAUUUUUUUUUCGUUUUGGAGUCAGAGUUUCAGUAUAGUUUGUUUUUCAAAA